Molecule: non-coding RNA, 97 nt
Organism: Armillaria fumosa
Lineage: Eukaryota; Fungi; Basidiomycota; Agaricomycetes; Agaricales; Physalacriaceae
Source: the annotation of a GenBank genome assembly
GCCCGCCUAGCUCAAUCGGAUAGAGCGUCAGACUUUUACGGAGUCAUCGGGCUGAAAUAACAUCUGAAGGCUGCGAGUUCGACCCUCGCGGUGGGCU